GACGAACGCUGGCGGCGUGCCUAAUACAUGCAAGUAGAACGCAGUUGCGAACGGGUGAGUAACGCGUAGGUAACUGCCUGGUAGCGGGGGAUAACUAUUGGAAACGAUAGCUAAUACCGCAUACUACCAGAUGGACCUGCGUUGUAUUAGCUAGUUGGUGAGGUAACGGCUCACCAAGGCCACGAUACAUAGCCGACCUGAGGGGGAGAACCGGCAAAACGGGACCGGGACACGGGCCAGAAUCCCUAGGGAGGGAGCAGUAGGGAAACAUUGGCAAUGGGGGGAAACCCGACCGCGCAAAUGCGCGUGAGUUAAGAAGGGCUUCGGAUUUUAAAGCUCCGUUGUUAAGGAAGCGUUACUUACCCAGAAAGCGACGGCUAACUACGUGCCAGCCGCCGCGGUAAUUC
RNAcentral lists this ribosomal RNA (407 nucleotides) under uncultured bacterium. Its description in RNAcentral is "partial 16S ribosomal RNA". It matches the Rfam family "Bacterial small subunit ribosomal RNA", at positions 28 to 526 of the family's 1533-position model. The record is from RNAcentral.